AUAUGGCUAGGUCAAACCCA
RNAcentral lists this microRNA (20 nucleotides) under Ananas comosus (pineapple). RNAcentral's name for it is "microRNA s0638_c85a". The record is from RNAcentral. Lineage: Eukaryota; Viridiplantae; Streptophyta; Magnoliopsida; Poales; Bromeliaceae.